UACGGAGGGUGCAAGCGUUAUCCGGAUUCACUGGGUUUAAAGGGUGCGUAGGUGGGUAGGUAAGUCCGCGGUGAAAUCCCCAAGCUUAACUUGGGAACUGCCGUAGAUACUAUUUAUCUUGAAUAUUGUGGAGGUAGGCGGAAUAUGUCAUGUAGCGGUGAAAUGCUUAGAUAUGACAUAGAACACCAAUUGCGAAGGCAGUCUGCUACACAAUUAUUGACGCUGAGGCACGAAAGCGUGGGGAUCAAACAGG
This 253-nucleotide ribosomal RNA is filed under the name uncultured bacterium. Its description in RNAcentral is "partial 16S ribosomal RNA". It matches the Rfam family "Bacterial small subunit ribosomal RNA", at positions 524 to 776 of the family's 1533-position model. The record is from RNAcentral.